Molecule: ribosomal RNA, 292 nt
Filed under: uncultured bacterium
Lineage: Bacteria
Description: partial 16S ribosomal RNA
Rfam family: Bacterial small subunit ribosomal RNA
Source: RNAcentral
GUGUCAGCAGCCGCGGUAAUACGAAGGGGGCUAGCGUUGUUCGGAUUUACUGGGCGUAAAGCGCGUGUAGGCGGGUCGUUAAGUUGGGGGUGAAAUCCCGAGGCUCAACCUCGGAACUGCCUUCAAAACUGGCGACCUGGAGCAAGAUAGAGGCAAGUGGAAUUGCGAGUGUAGAGGUGAAAUUCGUAGAUAUUCGCAGGAACACCAGUGGCGAAGGCGACUUGCUGGAUCUUUGCUGACGCUGAGACGCGAAAGCGUGGGGAGCAAACAGGAUUAGAAACCCUCGUAGUCC